Molecule: transfer RNA, 80 nt
Filed under: Xylochloris irregularis
Lineage: Eukaryota; Viridiplantae; Chlorophyta; Trebouxiophyceae
Description: tRNA-Leu
Rfam family: tRNA
About the family: Transfer RNA (tRNA) molecules are approximately 80 nucleotides in length. Their secondary structure includes four short double-helical elements and three loops (D, anti-codon, and T loops). Further hydrogen bonds mediate the characteristic L-shaped molecular structure. tRNAs have two regions of fundamental functional importance: the anti-codon, which is responsible for specific mRNA codon recognition, and the 3' end, to which the tRNAs corresponding amino acid is attached (by aminoacyl-tRNA synthetases). tRNAs cope with the degeneracy of the genetic code in two manners: having more than one tRNA (with a specific anti-codon) for a particular amino acid; and 'wobble' base-pairing, i.e. permitting non-standard base-pairing at the 3rd anti-codon position.
Source: RNAcentral
GCCCCUGUGGUGAAAUUGGUAGACACGCAGGUCUUAGGAACCUGUGCGAUAGCAUGUCGGUUCGAGUCCGACCGGGGGCA